ACUCAAAUGAAUUGACGGGGACCCGCACAAGCGGUGGAGCGUGUGGUUUAAUUCGAUGGUAAGCGGAGAACCUCACCAGGACUUGACAUCCCACUGAAAGCCACUGGAAACAGAGGCCCUCUUCGGACAGUGGUGACAGGUGCUGCACGGUUGUCGUCAGCUCGUGCCGUGAGGCGUUCCGUUAAGUCGGGUAACGAGCGCAACCCUCAUUGCUAGUUGUAUUUUUCUAGCGAGACUGCCGCGGUUAACGCGGAGGAAGGUGGGGAUGACGUCAAAUCAGCGUGGCCCUUAUGUCCUGGGCGACACACGCGCUACAAUGGCCGGUACAAUGGGUUGCCAAAUCGCGAGAUGGAGCUAAUCCCAAAAAACCGGCCCCAGUUCGGAUUGGAGUCUGCAACUCGACUCCAUGAAGCCGGAAUCGCUAGUAAACGCGAAUCAGCCACGUCGCGUUGAAUACGUUCUCGGGUCUUGUACACACCGCCCGU
Molecule: ribosomal RNA, 485 nt
Filed under: uncultured bacterium
Lineage: Bacteria
Description: partial 16S ribosomal RNA
Rfam family: Bacterial small subunit ribosomal RNA
Source: RNAcentral